GGAGCGAAAGGGAUUAGAUACCCCUGUAGUCCUGGCCGUAAACGAUGAACACUAGGUGUCGGGGGAAUCGACCCCUUCGGUGUCGUAGCUAACGCGUUAAGUGUUCCGCCUGGGGAGUACGCACGCAAGUGUGAAACUCAAAGGAAUUGACGGGGGCCCGCACAAGCGGUGGAGUAUGUGGUUUAAUUCGAUGCAACGCGAAGAACCUUACCAGGGUUUGACAUCCUGCGAACCUCUUAGAAAUUUGAGGGUGCCUUCGGGAAUGCAGUGACAGGUGGUGCAUGGCUGUCGUCAGCUCGUGUCGUGAGAUGUUGGGUUAAGUCCCGCAACGAGCGCAACCCACGUUUUUAGUUGCCAGCAUUUAGUUGGGCACUCUAGAAAGACCGCCGGUGAUAAACCGGAGGAAGGUGUGGAUGACGUCAAGUCAUCAUGCCCCUUACACCCUGGGCUACACACGUACUACAAUGCUACGGACAAAGGGCAGCAAACUCGCGAGAGCUAGCAAAUCCCAUAAACCGUGGCUCAGUUCAGAUCGUAGGCUGCAACUCGCCUACGUGAAGUAGGAAUCGCUAGUAAUCGCAGGUCAGCAUACUGCGGUGAAUACGUUCCCGGGCCUUGUACACACCGCCCGUCACACCAUGGAAGUUGGCCAUGCCCGAAGUCGUUACUCCAACCCUUGUGGAGGAGGACGCCGAAGGUGGGGCUAAUGACUGGGGUGAAGUCGUAACAAGGUAGCCGUACCGGAAGGUGCGGCUG
Molecule: ribosomal RNA, 756 nt
Filed under: marine metagenome
Description: bacterial SSU rRNA
Rfam family: Bacterial small subunit ribosomal RNA
Source: RNAcentral